Molecule: ribosomal RNA, 308 nt
Filed under: uncultured bacterium
Lineage: Bacteria
Description: bacterial SSU rRNA
Rfam family: Bacterial small subunit ribosomal RNA
Source: RNAcentral
AUUGAACGCUGGCGGUAUGCUUAACACAUGCAAGUCGAACGGAAACGACAAGAGCUUGCUCUUGGGCGUCGAGUGGCGGACGGGUGAGUAACGCGUAGGAAUCUGCCUGGUAGUGGGGGAUAGCCCAGAGAAAUCUGGAUUAAUACCGCAUAAUAUCUAUGGAUUAAAGUGGAGGCUCUUCGGACUUCACGCUACCAGAUGAGCCUGCGUAAGAUUAGCUUGUUGGUGAGGUAAAGGCUCACCAAGGCGACGAUCUUUAGCUGGUCUGAGAGGAUGAUCAGCCACACUGGGACUGAGACACGGCCCAG